Long non-coding RNA from Dermacentor albipictus, 453 nucleotides. RefSeq lists it as uncharacterized. Lineage: Eukaryota; Metazoa; Arthropoda; Arachnida; Ixodida; Ixodidae. The record is from RefSeq and is a predicted model, not a curated record.
GCAACAGCUGUUCAUCUCCGAGACAGUCGGUAGCUGACAUCAUGACGCCGUGUACGUGCAUAGUUCUCAUAUUCAUGACUGCAUGCGCUGCAGCGGCAACGGAAAAACCAGUGUCCCCCGUGUACUUUUUGUUCCCAUGGCCCGCACACAAAUGUCCUGCUGGAAGCCAGAAUUUCGACAAGUGCGCAGUGAACGGCCAACACUGCCCCAAUAGCGUUGGUUACUGCUGCCACGGCGUAUGCCUCUGCCUACGGUCAAGCAUCAUCAUGUGCCCUCGCCUACAUAAACCACGAUACCUCAUCGGCAUGCACUGAAUCAUGGCAAUUGGGGCCUACGUAUUUGCGCAGAAUAAUAUUCACUUUGUGGCCUCAUAACGUUAGAAGGUGAGACCAGAUCCCCUCCACAAAUGCAAUAUGAAGUGAAAUGAAUGCAAAUAAAAUUUUGCUUAUAGGC